This 28-nucleotide non-coding RNA is filed under the name Homo sapiens (human). Lineage: Eukaryota; Metazoa; Chordata; Mammalia; Primates; Hominidae. The record is from RNAcentral.
UCUUGGGACCAAAACUGCCUACCCACCC